CGUAGGUGAACCUGCGGAAGGAUCAUUAGUGAAUUGAAUCUGUUAGCGGACCUCUUCGGAGUCCCUAGCAUCAAAUCAUAUCCAUAACACCUGUGAACUGUAAGGCUGUCUUGAAAACGAAAGUGAUUAGAGCGCCUGCCCAUUUUAUACAAACAUUAAAGUAACAAACGUAGUCUUAUUAUAAUCUAAUAAAACUUUCAACAACGGAUCUCUUGGCUCUC
RNAcentral lists this unclassified non-coding RNA (221 nucleotides) under plant metagenome. RNAcentral's name for it is "partial contains small subunit ribosomal RNA, internal transcribed spacer 1, and 5.8S ribosomal RNA". The record is from RNAcentral.